This 301-nucleotide ribosomal RNA is filed under the name uncultured bacterium. RNAcentral's name for it is "partial 16S ribosomal RNA". It matches the Rfam family "Bacterial small subunit ribosomal RNA", at positions 509 to 807 of the family's 1533-position model. The record is from RNAcentral.
CAGUAGCCGCGGUAAAACGGAGGGUGCAAGCGUUAAUCGGAAUUACUGGGCGUAAAGCGCACGCAGGCGGUCUGACAAGUCAGAUGUGAAAUCCCCGGGCUUAACCUGGGAACUGCAUUUGAAACUGUCAGGCUGGAGUCUUGUAGAGGGGGGUAGAAUUCCAGGUGUAGCGGUGAAAUGCGUAGAGAUCUGGAGGAAUACCGGUGGCGAAGGCGGCCCCCUGGACAAAGACUGACGCUCAGGUGCGAAAGCGUGGGGAGCAAACAGGAUUAGAUACCCCAGUAGUCCCUGUCUCUUAUAC